RNAcentral lists this ribosomal RNA (405 nucleotides) under uncultured bacterium. Its description in RNAcentral is "partial 16S ribosomal RNA". It matches the Rfam family "Bacterial small subunit ribosomal RNA", at positions 30 to 526 of the family's 1533-position model. The record is from RNAcentral.
AUUGAACGCUAGCGGGAUGCUUAACACAUGCAAGUCGAACGAGUGGCGGACGGGUGAGAAAUAUAUCGGAACGUGCCCAGUAGCGGGGGAUCACUACGAGAAAGAGGGGCUAAUCCCGCAUACUAUUGGAGCGGCCGAUAUGGGAUUAGCUAGGUGGUGGGGUAAAGGCUCACCAAGGCAACGAUCCGUAGCUGGUUUGAGAGGACGACCAGCCACACUGGGACGGAGACACGGCCCAGACUCCUACGGGAGGCAGCAGUGGGGAAUAUUGGACAAUGGGGGAAACCCUGAUCCAGCCAUCCCGCGUGUAUGAGAAGGCCUUCGGGUUGUAAAGUACUUUUGGCGGGGAAGCGGUAUCUGCAGAAUAAGCACCGGCUAACUACGUGCCAGCAGCCGCGGUAAUUC